Molecule: non-coding RNA, 883 nt
Organism: Phalacrocorax carbo (great cormorant)
Lineage: Eukaryota; Metazoa; Chordata; Aves; Suliformes; Phalacrocoracidae
Source: RefSeq, a predicted model, not a curated record
CCCGCCGCGGCCAAGCACGCAUGCGCGGAACGGCCGGGCGGGGUGGGGGAGGUGCCUCGCUACCUUCAGCCGGGCUGUCGCGCCCCAACAGUUGAAAUCUAACAGUCGGCCACCAGGUGCGUGCUGGCAGCAGAAGGGUUGUGUGUGUGUAUGUGGGAUUAGUGGGUGUUUUCCGUAAUGCAAGUGCUGAGCUGCUUCCAGGCAGAGAGUUCUCUUGCGGCCUGGAAACGAUGAAAACGUCAAGAGUCAGUGACAGUGCUCUAAUGCUAACUUGGAAAAUCCAUUACUAGAGGUGAGAAGUACAAGACACCUCUUCAGUCUCUGUGUUCUCUACCAGAAUACCAAGCAAAGCUUCCUGCUGCAGUCACUGGGAUAUUAUUUUUGUGAUCUUCACAGCAGUUCUCCAAAAGCAAGAUUAGCUGUCGUGUAAUAACAACAGUGACGCACAAUGUGAUAACAGGCAGCCUCCAGGUGAAGAAUCUUUGUAUCACUACAGUCUCCCCCACUAAUCAGUUCUCUACAGUACAAGAUGUAAAGGAAGCUGAGGAGGAAUAUGUAAAACAGCAUGCAGAUAGCUACGCAGUGGAAAAAAUACCAGUAAGAGGUAGCAAAAAUACUGGAAACAGCUUUGUGGAGAUAAUAAAAUUGCUAAAGAGCAUUUACUGUUAAUAGCCUGUGUUUUUCAUGACACUAAUGGGUGGUUAAUUAUUUUUGUUUUAAUUGAAACAUAUGUCACAGCAAUAUUUUGUGCUUCCACUGAUCUAAAGCUAUUGUUCAAGUCCAUGUUGCAAUCAGUUCUCAAACAAUGCUCUCUUUGUCAGCAAUGCAGAAGUAGAAUGAUUUUAAUUUCUUCUCUUGGAAGAUUUAUAUCCUGGAAAACCCU